Long non-coding RNA from Eurytemora carolleeae, 333 nucleotides. RefSeq lists it as uncharacterized. NCBI's taxonomy places the organism in Eukaryota, Metazoa, Arthropoda, Copepoda, Calanoida, Temoridae. The record is from RefSeq and is a predicted model, not a curated record. The transcript has 5 exons.
AAAGAGCGGAGACAAGAUUCUUUCAAUAUUUGAGGAAUUACGAGGAAGUAACGCUCCUCCCCAUCUAGUGGAGGGGUUUGAGGACGCAUUGUCUUCUCUGCUAAAAGAUGUUCGAACCAUAGAGACAGAACAACAGCAGAUGGAAGAUCAAUUUAAUAGAGAACGGGAGAACCAUAGCGCACAUCUUGCAUCUAUUGAAGCAGAGCUGGAUAUUCAAGUAGCAAAGGUUGAAGCUGCCGUAAGAGAAAAGGCAAAGCAGGAUUUUGAAGCUGAAAAAAGAGCACUUCAGGAAAAAAUGGAAACUGAGAUCCUGGAACUACAAUCCCAUCUCAG